UACGUAGGGUCCGAGCGUUGUCCGGAAUUACUGGGCGUAAAGAGCUCGUAGGUGGUUUGUCGCGUUGUUCGUGAAAACUCACAGCUCAACUGUGGGCGUGCGGUCGAUACGGGCAGACUAGAGUACUGCAGGGGAGACUGGAAUUCCUGGUGUAGCGGUGGAAUGCGCAGAUAUCAGGAGGAACACCGGUGGCGAAGGCGGGUCUCUGGGCAGUAACUGACGCUGAGGAGCGAAAGCGUGGGGAGCGAACAGG
This 253-nucleotide ribosomal RNA is filed under the name uncultured bacterium. RNAcentral describes it as "partial 16S ribosomal RNA". It matches the Rfam family "Bacterial small subunit ribosomal RNA", at positions 524 to 776 of the family's 1533-position model. The record is from RNAcentral.